ACCAAAAAAUUUGCCAUUUCAACUUUAUUUUCCAAUUCAGAAUGGAAUCAUUUCAAAAUGUCAGAAUUUCCCAUGGAACAGAAAUUUUGUUUUACAAUCAACCUGCUUGUGCUUGUUGUUUCAUUUUUUUUUUUAUUAGUGGAUAGGGUGGUCUAUCAGUAUGCAGUUUGUUUUUCUUUUUAGACAAAAUGACUCUUGCUCACAGAAUAAAAACAUGAUAGAUUUCAAGCUUGAAAAUGGAACUGACUUUUGAUGGGGGCAAAAAAGGCCAUUAAAUCCAACAGGUUUUCCCCUUUCUAAUUAAAAUACAUUUAACCAGCUUGAUAAAAAAUACACUAAGAUCAAGACAAGAUAUGGAUUUUGUCAAGGUGAAUAGAAUAUUGUUAAAGUUGCAGCUUUGUGAGGACAUUGGUUUUGUAUGGAAAUUCCAUUGUAAGCAGACAAUGUCACUGACAUUCUAUAUCUCACACAUGAUCAGAUUCAUUCACAGCAAGCCCACUGCAAUCAGUGGAGUUAGUUAGAACUCGUUAGUGUAAAUGAGAUGAGAAUUUGGUCACUGUAGAUAGCCUAAGUAUAAAUAGCGAUUGGAAAGUUGAUCUGCCAAGUGGUACGAUUGGGCCAAAUCAUAUAAAACUACAGUUGAUUGCAAUUAAUUUUACCAGAAUACAAAGUGAAUUAACACUAAAAUAUAUAUCUUCAGGAUCCAGCCUAUUGUAAAUACAUCCUUUUCAUGGCUUGAGAUGGCAAGUCUGAACUAAGCACUAGGACACAUUUUCCUGAUCAGAUAUUAAAAGCCACCGUCUGGAAAGUAUUUGGGAGCCUUACUGGGAGGCAUGAAUUUGAACAUAAGGCAAUUUGUCUGCUGCAAAAUGAGAAAUCAUAAUGUUCUUGCUACUCAACCAAGCUUAUUUCACAGCCUGAUUUAUUAUAGCACAGAGUUGAUGACCAGUUUGAUGCAGAAAGCAAACAUAAAAGGAGAAGAAAACAUGAGACAGUGAGUCACCGAAAAUUUAAAAAGUACGAUCGGCAGCACACAAGCCUUGGGAGAGAGGAGAGUACAGAGAAGAUGAACCUUUCUUCAAGAUGUUCAGAAAAUGUGUAAGAUCCCUAACUCAGCUUCUUCUAAAAAUAAAAAUCUCCAAACAGAUGGUUGAAGAAUUGGUAGCUGACAAGACUGUUGGACAAUCAACAAUAGAAACUAAUUACCAUAUAAUCCUACUAAUGGUACCUAAGCAGGUACUUUUUGACACAACAUAAGUUCUUUGACUGGCUAAGUAUCUUCUCUUCAGUGAGCAAAGUUAAAAGGCAUAAUUAGUAAACUACUUCAAGAAGAAAUCAUCAAAUCACUUCAAAAGAGGCUAUUUUAAGAAUAGUUAUCUGACAACUUCCAAAGUUAACUUUGUUGGCAAAAGGAAAAGUAGCAUUCCAAAAAUGUCUCCCUGUUGACAAAGUAUCAAGUGGCCACAGAGACUAGGGAAUAAAUCACAUCUGCCUGUAAAAAAUCUGCAAGAGGGAUUGAGUAAAGUAACUUUUCUGCUGAAUUCUCCCAUCAGAAGGGAGGUUGACAUUCCUUUCUACUGGCCACAGGGCAUGAGCCUCCAAUUCCAGCUUGGUCAGGGCAGGCUUUCCCUUUUCAGACUGAAGACACGCAUUGUUAACAAUGAGGAUAAUCAACAACUGGAACAAUUUAUCAAGGGUGGUGGUGGAUUUUCCAUAAAUGGAAAUUUUAAAAUAAAAAAAUGGAUGUUUUUCUAAAAGAUAUGCUCAAGUUCAAACAGGAAUUAUUUUGGGGAAAUUCUAUGGCCUGUGAUAUACAGAAAGUCAGACUAAAUGAUCACAGUGGUCCCUUCUGACCUUGAAAUCUAUGAACUUCACAGAUGUUCCAAAUUCUACAAUAUUUUUAAAUAUAUCUUUGAACAUUCUUUUGAGCCAUGACUAUACCAAAAUGGCAUAGCUUCCCAAUGGCUUCUAGGCCAAAACCCCUUUCCCAGAGGUGGGGGUUUUACAGCAUGGAGAGGGAAUUUUUUACAGUCAUAGUGGGUGGCAGGGCUAGUGAGAAAAUUCUCCUGGAUUGUUACUGUGGAGAAUGGCUCUUCUCCUCACUCCUUGACCAGCCACAAGCCUGAAAACACGUCGUAUGGAGUUAGAGGGGAGUCACAGUUGCUCCCACUGCUAGAAUUUUGGCCAAUAGAGUGGAUUUUCGACACUUAUUUCAUCCACAGCAAAAAAGAAAGGAUGACAUAGACCUCAAAGUCAUUUGACAAGAUGUAUGACUUUUAAGGUGGUUUUCUGGGAAGUGCUAGUAAUUUUGCUGCUUUAAAAAAGUCCAACUUAAACUAACUUGAGAUUUGUAAUCUUUUAUAUUUGUAAGGCAAAUUUAUUGCCUACUUUAUCAAUGUUUGUACUACAAUAUAAAUUGUAGCCCAUAAAAAUAGUUUGUAUAGAUGUGAGAGAAAUACUGAAGUUAGAUUUUGCUUUAUUAGAUGGUACAAAUAUGAGUGAUUGAUUUUUUUAAUCAGUUUUUGUAUUUUGACAAGUCAGAGAAUAUGAACAAAACUUUUCAAUUUAGUUACUGUGGUGUCACUCACAUAAUCAAUAAAAUAUUGUGUUUUACUUAGA
Molecule: long non-coding RNA, 2619 nt
Organism: Chelonia mydas (Green sea turtle)
Lineage: Eukaryota; Metazoa; Chordata; Testudines; Cheloniidae
Exons: 2
Source: RefSeq, a predicted model, not a curated record